GAUCCCUGACCCGCUUCACACUUAGCAAUGCUGAAGUGCUACUGCCAACAUGCUCACUCGGCUGAAUCAAAUCCGUACUCCACGAGUACCUACACUCGAGCGUCUACACACUAAUUCCAGGGUUAGGUGACUUUGCCUAAGCGCGCCAGCCACGCAAGCACGACUCAUUCACCUCAAUUAGAGGUAUUACUAAGCCAACGUGUCCGGAUUCGGCAACUAAUCGGCUACUCUCUCAACAGUGAUUCACUUUUACUGUUUGAUCUGCCGGAACUACAUCCGAAUCACUCAAUUUACUCGGGUAUCCUCACGUAUCAUGACUCAACUUUCGUAAUACACUAAUUACUACCUUGAG
This 352-nucleotide long non-coding RNA is filed under the name Ananas comosus (pineapple). RNAcentral describes it as "long non-coding RNA (ACOM_LNC039334)". Lineage: Eukaryota; Viridiplantae; Streptophyta; Magnoliopsida; Poales; Bromeliaceae. The record is from RNAcentral.